GUCAGAUCUGCACUGGCGGUGGUUCAGGAUAAUUGUGCUCAAGCUCACUACUGUCCAUAAACAUCUGAGACCCGAAAAGAGAUGUCUUUGAUCAGAUUCUCUUACUCCUACUCUCUUCCUCUCCUCUUCCUCUUUUCAAUCUCUGCAAUUCUUGCUCAAACUAAUGGGGACCCAACUACCAAAACCAUGGAGGAUUUCUCUGGUUAUCCUAUUCAUGAACCUUCUCAAACCUUCUUCCCUUCUUCACUUUCAGUGGACGCUCAAAGUCUGCAAAAACAGAUUGAUGAGCUAUCCACUUUCUCUGAUACUCCUGCCCCAUCAGUUACUAGGGUUUUAUACACUGAGAAGGACGUAUUAGCUCGCAGGUACAUCAAAAACUUGUUGGGACUCUCUGGGUUAUCUGUUAGAGAGGAUGCUAUUGGUAACAUAUUUGGUCGGUGGGAUGGCUCUGAGCCAGAGCUCACUGCAGUUGCGACUGGUUCUCACAUUGAUGCUAUUCCAUUUUCUGGGAAAUAUGAUGGAGUUGUUGGUGUUUUGGGUGCAAUUGAAGCCAUAAAUGUACUCAAAAGGUCUGGGUUCAAACCCAAAAGGUCUCUGGAGGUAAUCUUGUUCACCUCGGAAGAGCCAACUCGCUUUGGCAUUGGCUGCUUGGGAAGUCGCUUAUUGGCAGGGAGUGAAGCACUUGCAGAAGCCCUGAAGACAACAGUUGAUAGUCAAAACAUUUCCUUUCUGAAGGCUGCUAGAUCUGCUGGAUAUGCAAAAGAUCAAGAUGAUUUGUCGAGUGUUUUCUUAAAGAAGGGAAGUUACUCUGCAUUUGUGGAGCUGCAUAUAGAACAGGGGCCCAUUCUAGAGGCAGAGGGUCUAUCAAUUGGCAUAGUAACUGCAAUUGCGGCCCCUGCAAGCAUAAAAGUAGAUUUUGAAGGCAAUGGCGGUCAUGCAGGCGCUGUCUUGAUGCCAAAUAGGUGAUCUUUAGCCUUAUGCAAAUGCUUGUUGACUCAAAGCUCACUUGCCCCUUUAUCAACUUUUGUGCCUUUUUUCCUGUUGCUACUUUGUGCAGUAAUUGUUUUCUCAUGGAAAAAGAGAAUUCUACGUGAUUGCGAGUGCUUGCACAUGCAUACAUUGUGUACUUUUUGUGUAUGUCCACACACACAUAAGUAUGUAGUUUAUCUUUCUAUGGCAUUUUAACAGAUUUUUGUGAUGGCUAUUUUCUGCAUUUUUGAUGUUUGAGGCUCUUGUUUUACUUUUUCUUGUUGUAUUGAUUGACCAUAUUUGUUUCCUUUUUGGAAAAUACACAAUCUCCUUUUAUAUAAAUUUAUUUCCCUUCCUGAUUGUAACUUUAACCAGAUAAAGUGGCAAAUCAUAAUCAAGUCUUUUUAUCACGUUCAUUCUACAGUGUGGUUUCAGAUGUGUCAGACUGUCAGUUAGCAUAUUUUUCAACAUUUUUUGUUUUCUUGUUCAGUCAAGAUAAGAUUCUUAACUUUUACAUGUACAAUUUGGAUCAGAAAUGAUGCUGGAUUGGCAGCUGCAGAACUGGCUUUAGCUGUUGAGAAACGUGUGCUAGAAUCUGGUUCAGUCGAUACUGUUGGUACAGUAGGUGCGUCAUGUUUUCUUCAUGCCCAAGCGUCGUACCAUGGUUUUUCAUUGCAUUUAAUUUCCAAUUACAUUGUUGAAUCGCGGCCUCUUUUUUAACUAGCUACACUUCUCAUAGAUCUGUGGUAGAAAUGAUACUUUAUGUUUUUCAAGGUAUUCUGGAGUUGCAUCCUGGUGCCAUAAACAGCAUCCCGAGCAAAUCACACCUAGAAAUUGGUAUGCAUUUUUCUGUGAUUAAGAUUGCUCAAUGACACUCCCAAUUUGCUUAAAAAGUUUGUCCAUAGUUUUGCGUACAUAAGUUUGGUGUUAAUGCUUCCAGGUUUAUUUUCGAUUAUUCUACUUACAGAUUAUUUAAUCCAUUUCAGUCUUCUGAAUAGCGUAUUCUUAUUCUUUGUUCAAUAUUUUGACAGACACUCGUGAUAUUGACGAAAAGCGAAGAAAUAACGUAAUUGAGAAGAUUCAGCAAUCUGCAAUGACAAUAGCCAAAAACCGUGGGGUCAAGCUAUCAGCAUUCAAGGUCAUAAAUCAGGACCCACCAGCCCUCUCUGAUAAAUCAGUAAUUGAGGCAGUGGAAGCUGCAUCAAAAGAGUUAAACCUGACACACAAGUUGAUGAUAAGCAGAGCUUACCAUGAUUCACUGUUCAUGGCUAGGUAAGAGAAAUAUUGAUAAAUGGGUUAGAUGCUGGAUUUUGAUAAAUAGCGAUGAUAUCCAAAAAAAAGUUUUGCGGUCAGUUCUCUUUUUCUUGAACCUCUACACAAACAUAAGGACGUGUUUUUCAUUUCAUGUAUAUUCAACUUAUAUUAGUUGGUUGCUUAUAAUAAGUUUUAUCUUGAACUUCUACAUAGUUAUGCAAUAUACCUUCUCAAUAUGGUUCCUGAAAACUAGGAGACUGAUCUUCUUCUUCUUCUUCCUUUUUUAUUUUUUUCCAAUUUUUAUCUGUGGGUUUAUAAUGGUUGAGUACUUGCAUGCAAGAAGCGUGACUGGUCAUGCUUUGUGCCUUAUUGCGCCUUGCGUCACCUCACAUCGCCUCAUGAAGAUCACUUGUCUGGAGUGCUCCUAGGCGUUGUGCCCCUUGCACGCCUGUCUUGACAGCAUUUGUUUUCUUUUUUUUAAUUUUUUAUUUUUUUAAUGAUGCUUCUAUCUCUCAGGAUCUUCAUGG
This 2750-nucleotide unclassified non-coding RNA is filed under the name Hevea brasiliensis (rubber tree). The record is from RNAcentral. Lineage: Eukaryota; Viridiplantae; Streptophyta; Magnoliopsida; Malpighiales; Euphorbiaceae.